This 449-nucleotide ribosomal RNA is filed under the name uncultured bacterium. RNAcentral's name for it is "bacterial SSU rRNA". It matches the Rfam family "Bacterial small subunit ribosomal RNA", at positions 329 to 793 of the family's 1533-position model. The record is from RNAcentral.
GCCCAGACUCCUACGGGAGGCAGCAGUGGGGAAUAUUGGGCAAUGGACGCAAGUCUGACCCAGCAACGCCGCGUGAAGGAAGAAGGCUUUCGGGUUGUAAACUUCUUUUAAGGGGGAAGAGCAGAAGACGGUACCCCUUGAAUAAGCCACGGCUAACUACGUGCCAGCAGCCGCGGUAAUACGUAGGUGGCAAGCGUUGUCCGGAUUUACUGGGUGUAAAGGGCGUGCAGCCGGAGAGACAAGUCAGAUGUGAAAUCCUGCAGCUUAACCGCAGAACUGCAUUUGAAACUGUUGAUCUUGAGUACUGGAGAGGCAGACGGAAUUCCUAGUGUAGCGGUGAAAUGCGUAGAUAUUAGGAGGAACACCAGUGGCGAAGGCGGUCUGCUGGACAGCAACUGACGGUGAGGCGCGAAAGCGUGGGGAGCAAACAGGAUUAGAUACCCCUGUAA